RNAcentral lists this transfer RNA (69 nucleotides) under Rattus norvegicus (Norway rat). It matches the Rfam family "tRNA". From Rfam's summary of the family: Transfer RNA (tRNA) molecules are approximately 80 nucleotides in length. Lineage: Eukaryota; Metazoa; Chordata; Mammalia; Rodentia; Muridae. The record is from Rfam by way of RNAcentral.
GGGGAUGUAGCUCAGUGGUAGAGCACUUGCCUAGCAAGCACAAGGCCCUGGGUUCAGUCCCCAGCUCCG